UAUGAAUGUAGGUGCCCUUGAAUUUG
This 26-nucleotide non-coding RNA is filed under the name Rattus norvegicus (Norway rat). Lineage: Eukaryota; Metazoa; Chordata; Mammalia; Rodentia; Muridae. The record is from RNAcentral.